RNAcentral lists this unclassified non-coding RNA (203 nucleotides) under Hevea brasiliensis (rubber tree). Lineage: Eukaryota; Viridiplantae; Streptophyta; Magnoliopsida; Malpighiales; Euphorbiaceae. The record is from RNAcentral.
AAAAUAAGUUGCAAAAUCUUUAGCCCAGGUGAAGCUUUACAAAAAAAUGAGUAAAUGCAGAAGACUAAGAAUAUACACAAAAACAGAGAAGUCGUUAAUAGUGAAAGAGCAAAUCAUCAUUUACAGAUCAAUAUGCAAAACACAAGCAUUGACGAUGGAAGAUCAGAACCUGAAUAACAACAAUAUGUCCAAAAAAAAAAAAA